RNAcentral lists this transfer RNA (71 nucleotides) under Stegodyphus mimosarum. It matches the Rfam family "tRNA". From Rfam's summary of the family: Transfer RNA (tRNA) molecules are approximately 80 nucleotides in length. Their secondary structure includes four short double-helical elements and three loops (D, anti-codon, and T loops). Further hydrogen bonds mediate the characteristic L-shaped molecular structure. tRNAs have two regions of fundamental functional importance: the anti-codon, which is responsible for specific mRNA codon recognition, and the 3' end, to which the tRNAs corresponding amino acid is attached (by aminoacyl-tRNA synthetases). tRNAs cope with the degeneracy of the genetic code in two manners: having more than one tRNA (with a specific anti-codon) for a particular amino acid; and 'wobble' base-pairing, i.e. permitting non-standard base-pairing at the 3rd anti-codon position. Lineage: Eukaryota; Metazoa; Arthropoda; Arachnida; Araneae; Eresidae. The record is from Rfam by way of RNAcentral.
GCCUUCGUGGUGUAAAGGUAUCACAUUCGGCGCGUAUUCGAGAGGUCUAGGUUUGAAUCCCGGCAAGAGCA